CUAUAAUAAAAUGUACAACAGGAUAUAUAGACUGUGUUCCCUAUAAUAAAAUAUACAACAGGAUAUAUAGACUGUGUUCCCUAUAAUAAAAUAUACAACAGGAUAUAUAGACUGUGUUCUCUAUAAUAUAAUAUACAACAGGAUAUAUAGACUGUGUUCCCUAUAAUAAAAUGUACAACAGGAUAUAUAGACUGUGUUCCCUAUAAUAAAAUAUACAACAGGAUAUAUAGACUUUUUCCCUAUAAUAAAAUAUACAACAGGAUAUAUAGACUGUGUUCUCUAUAAUAUAAUAUACAACAGGAUAUAUAGACUGUGUUCCCUAUAAUAUAAUAUACAACAGGAUAUAUAGACUGUGUUCCCUAUAAUAAAAUAUACAACAGGAUAUAUAGACUGUGUUCUCUAUAAUAUAAUAUACAACAGGAUAUAUAGACUGUGUUCCCUAUAAUAUAAUAUACAACAGGAUAUAUAGACUGUGUUCUCUAUAAUAUAAUAUACAACAGGAUAUAUAGACUGUGUUCCCUAUAAUAUAAUAUACAACAGGAUAUAUAGACUGUGUUCCCUAUAAUAAAAUAUACAACAGGAUAUAUAGACUGUGUUCUCUAUAAUAAAAUGUACAACAGGAUAUACAGACUGUGUUCCCUAUAAUAAAAUAUACAACAGGAUAUAUAGACUGUGUUCUCUAUAAUAAAAUCUACAACAGGAUAUAUAGACUGUGUUCCCUAUAAUAUACAACAGGAUAUAUAGACUGUGUUCCCUAUAAUAAAAUAUACAACAGGAUAUAUAGACUUUGUUCCCUAUAAUAUACAACAGGAUAUAUAGACUGUGUUCCCUAUAAUAAAAUAUACAACAGGAUAUAUAGACUGUGUUCCCUAUAAUAAAAUAUACAACAGGAUAUAUAGACUGUGUUCUCUAUAAUAAAAUAUACAACAGGAUAUAUAGACUGUGUUCCCUAUAAUAUACAACAGGAUAUAUAGACUGUGUUCCCUAUAAUAAAAUAUACAACAGGAUAUAUAGACUGUGUUCUCUAUAAUAAAAUGUACAACAGGAUAUAUAGACUGUGUUCCCUAUAAUAAAAUAUACAACAGGAUAUAUAGACUGUGUUCUCUAUAAUAAAAUCUACAACAGGAUAUAUAGACUGUGUUCCCUAUAAUAUACAACAGGAUAUAUAGACUGUGUUCCCUAUAAUAAAAUAUACAACAGGAUAUAUAGACUGUGUUCCCUAUAAUAUACAACAGGAUAUAUAGACUGUGUUCCCUAUAAUAAAAUAUACAACAGGAUAUAUAGACUGUGUUCCCUAUAAUAAAAUGUACAACAGGAUAUAUAGACUGUGUUCCCUAUAAUAAAAUAUACAACAGGAUAUAUAGACUGUGUUCCCUAUAAUAAAAUAUACAACAGGAUAUAUAGACUGUGUUCUCUAUAAUAUAAUAUACAACAGGAUAUAUAGACUGUGUUCCCUAUAAUAAAAUGUACAACAGGAUAUAUAGACUGUGUUCCCUAUAAUAAAAUAUACAACAGGAUAUAUAGACUGUGUUCCCUAUAAUAAAAUAUACAACAGGAUAUAUAGACUGUGUUCUCUAUAAUAUAAUAUACAACAGGAUAUAUAGACUGUGUUCCCUAUAAUAUAAUAUACAACAGGAUAUAUAGACUGUGUUCCCUAUAAUAAAAUAUACAACAGGAUAUAUAGACUGUGUUCUCUAUAAUAUAAUAUACAACAGGAUAUAUAGACUGUGUUCCCUAUAAUAUAAUAUACAACAGGAUAUAUAGACUGUGUUCUCUAUAAUAUAAUAUACAACAGGAUAUAUAGACUGUGUUCCCUAUAAUAUAAUAUACAACAGGAUAUAUAGACUGUGUUCCCUAUAAUAAAAUAUACAACAGGAUACGAAGAAAGGUCUUCAGACUAAACUUUGUUGACAGGAAACUACGCUCUAGUGCCCCCACAACGCCUGAUGUCUCUCCCUUCAUCCCUCCAUCUUCCUCCCUCUGUCAUCUCCUUUCAUCCCUCCAUCUUCCUCCCUCUGUCAUCUCCCUUCAUCCCUCCAUAUUCCUCCCUCUGUCAUCUCUCUUCCUCCCUCCAUCUUCUCUCUUACUCCCAUUCAAACCUCCAGCAACAUCUUACCACCUUUCCCUCUAUCUCUCUUUCCCUCGUCAUCUCCCUCUGUGCCUCGUCAUCUCCCUCUGUCCCUCGUCAUCUCUAUCUUUCCCUCGUCAUCUCCCUCUGUCCCUCGUCAUCUCCCUCUGUCCCUCGUCUUCUCUCUCUGUCCCUCGUCAUCUCUCUCUUUCCCUCGUCAUCUCCCUCUGUCCCUCGUCAUCUCUCUCUGUCCCUCGUCAUCUCCCUCUGUCCCUCGUCAUCUCUCUCUGUCCCUCGUCAUCUCCCUCUGUCCCUCGUCAUCUCUCUCUGUCCCUCGUCAUCUCCCUCUGUCCCUCGUCAUCUCCCUCUGUCCCUCGUCAUCUCCCUCUGUCCCUCGUCAUCUCUCUCUGCAUCCUUCUGUCUCCUUCCAUCCCUCUCCCCCUCACACCUCAAGGGACAUAUUUAUCAAAUUUAUCUCUCAACAUGCUUCCUUAACCUUACUGUAAUCCCCCUCUCUUUAUAUCUCUCCAUCUCUCCCUCAUCCCUCCAUCUCAUCCUCCAUCCUUCCAUCUCUUCCUCCAUUCAUCUCUCACAACCAGCCCCAUAAUAUAGAGAUGAGUACUGCCUUAUCACAACCAGCCCCAUAAUAUAGAGGUGAGUACUGCCUUAUCACAACCAGCCCCAUAAUGCAGAGAGGAGUACUGCCUUAUCACAACCAGCCCCAUAAUAUAGAGAGGAGUACUGCCUUAUGACAACCAGCCCCAUAAUAUAGAGAUGAGUACUGCCUUAUCACUGACAAUGGGAAAUGAAAGGUAAAUAUUUGUAAAGAAAAUGAAAAAUAAGUAACUUUGUUAGACAAUAGUAGGUGUAUAAAUGAUUUAUUAUAUAUUUAAUAUAUGUACUUAGAGAUCCAGUUGUUUCUUUAUAAUGGUCAGUAUAUUGUGUAAACAAUUAUUAUGAGACUUAUGAAACCAUUCAAAAUGCAUGCAAGUCUGAGAUGUCUCUGACCCCUCACAGUAGAGGUUGGCAGCCAUUUAUACAAGGAAUUGAUUUUUAAUUCCAUUUCAAGCGGACCUUCCCAAGUCUGAGCGUGGCUCUACCUGACUGAUCUGUUAGAUGAACUGAUGAAUAAUAUUCACAACUCUAAAUGUAAUUUGUGUCUAGAUUCAACAGGGAUGUUGGCCCAUGUUGACUCCAAUGCUUCCCACAGUGGUGUCAAGUGUCAAGGCUGGAUGUCCUUUGGGUGGUGGACCAUUCUUCAUACACACGGGAAACUGUUGAAUGUGGGAAAACCCAGCAGCGUUGCAGUUCUUGACACACUCAAACCGGUGCGCCUGGCACCUAUUACCAUAACUCGGUGGUAUGGUAUCAAUCAACUCUCUUCAUUAAAAUAUUGACUUUAAAACUAUGCCUCUGAUGUGUUUCUUCAUCACCAACAGGAAAUACUAGUUUAAGUAUAGUGACAGUUUGUUUCCCAACAGGAAAGACUAGUUUAAGUAUAGUGACAGUUUGUUACCCAACAGGAAAGACUAGUUUAAGUAUAGUGACAGUUUGU
This 3623-nucleotide long non-coding RNA is filed under the name Salmo salar (Atlantic salmon). RNAcentral's name for it is "lncRNA (ENSSSAG00000089205.1)". Lineage: Eukaryota; Metazoa; Chordata; Actinopteri; Salmoniformes; Salmonidae. The record is from RNAcentral.